This is a non-coding RNA of Phascolarctos cinereus (koala), 418 nucleotides long. The record is from RefSeq and is a predicted model, not a curated record. NCBI's taxonomy places the organism in Eukaryota, Metazoa, Chordata, Mammalia, Diprotodontia, Phascolarctidae.
CAGAGUAUGUGAAGAGGAGUAGAUGUGAAAUCAGUCUGGAAAUAUAAGGCGGAGCCAUAUUGUGAAGAGUGUUGUCUACCAAAUGGCUGAAACUUCGGCACGAUGAAAAGUUCCUUGGAUAUAAAGUCAGAAGAUCAAAUUCUGGAUCUACUAUGUUACCUUGGCUUCCAGAGAGGCAGGACUGCUUUGGAAAAGCCUUAAGAAGACUUGGUAAAGUGAUGAUUAAGAUCAUAGGAUCUGCAGUUGGAAGGAAGCUGAGAAAUCACCAUCUAGCUCAGUGGUCUUCAAACUUUUGUGACUGUGCUACCCUACCAGUAAAACAUUUCAGAGCAUGCAUUCCCAAUAUACAGGCAUACCAUGAAGAUGUUGUAGGUUUGAUUCCAGACCACUGCAAUAGAGUGAAUAUAGUAAUAAAACA